This 75-nucleotide transfer RNA is filed under the name Reyranella sp. RNAcentral describes it as "tRNA-Gly". It matches the Rfam family "tRNA". Rfam says of the family: Transfer RNA (tRNA) molecules are approximately 80 nucleotides in length. Their secondary structure includes four short double-helical elements and three loops (D, anti-codon, and T loops). Further hydrogen bonds mediate the characteristic L-shaped molecular structure. tRNAs have two regions of fundamental functional importance: the anti-codon, which is responsible for specific mRNA codon recognition, and the 3' end, to which the tRNAs corresponding amino acid is attached (by aminoacyl-tRNA synthetases). tRNAs cope with the degeneracy of the genetic code in two manners: having more than one tRNA (with a specific anti-codon) for a particular amino acid; and 'wobble' base-pairing, i.e. permitting non-standard base-pairing at the 3rd anti-codon position. The record is from RNAcentral. RNAcentral also lists the same sequence under 8 other names. Lineage: Bacteria; Pseudomonadati; Pseudomonadota; Alphaproteobacteria; Hyphomicrobiales; Reyranellaceae.
GCGGGUGUAGCUCAGGGGUAGAGCGUCGGCUUCCCAAGCCGUAGGUCGCGGGUUCGAAUCCCGUCGCCCGCUCCA